RNAcentral lists this ribosomal RNA (292 nucleotides) under uncultured bacterium. RNAcentral's name for it is "partial 16S ribosomal RNA". It matches the Rfam family "Bacterial small subunit ribosomal RNA", at positions 505 to 796 of the family's 1533-position model. The record is from RNAcentral.
GUGCCAGCAGCCGCGGUAAGACGAACCGUGCGAACGUUGUUCGGAAUCACUGGGCUUAAAGGGCGCGUAGGCGGUUUCUCAAGUCCGGGGUGAAAGCUUUCGGCUUAACCGGAAAAGGGCCUUGGAUACUGAGAAGCUGGAGGGAGGUAGGGGCCGUUGGAACUUCCAGUGGAGCGGUGAAAUGCGUUGAUAUUGGAAGGAACUCCGGUGGCGAAAGCGAACGGCUGGAUCUCUUCUGACGCUGAGGCGCGAAAGCUAGGGGAGCAAACGGGAUUAGAUACCCCCGUAGUCC